GGUUCAGAGCACUAAUCUGAAGACAGAGUAUCCUGUCUCCCAGCUUUGCUUUGAAUCAAAGAAUGCUGUACUUAUUCUUGAGUUUUAUAAAGUAUUAACAGUCAUAUGAUAUUUAUGGCUGUCAAAGGAGAGCUGGCUGAGAAAUUCUGGUAUAGUGCCAUCCGGGAGGUUGGACUUGGGAAUCAGCAAGCCUUGAGACGCUGCUCAUCUCUCCAGGCUGUGUGACACAAGCAACUGCUUGACCAUACUAAUCUCUAAAGGGAAGAGUACCGAAACCUC
RNAcentral lists this long non-coding RNA (279 nucleotides) under Bos taurus (domestic cattle). RNAcentral describes it as "long non-coding RNA NONBTAT024564". Lineage: Eukaryota; Metazoa; Chordata; Mammalia; Artiodactyla; Bovidae. The record is from RNAcentral.